GCCCCCGCACAAGCAGCGGAGCGUGUGGUUUAAUUCGAUGGUACACGAAGAACCUUACCGGGGCUUGACAUACACGUGAUCGCAUCAGAGAUGGUGCUUUCCUUGAAGCAAUUCAUGGACACGUGCACAGGUGUUGCA
RNAcentral lists this ribosomal RNA (138 nucleotides) under uncultured bacterium. RNAcentral describes it as "partial 16S ribosomal RNA". It matches the Rfam family "Bacterial small subunit ribosomal RNA", at positions 920 to 1045 of the family's 1533-position model. The record is from RNAcentral.